Molecule: ribosomal RNA, 147 nt
Filed under: uncultured bacterium
Lineage: Bacteria
Description: partial 16S ribosomal RNA
Rfam family: Bacterial small subunit ribosomal RNA
Source: RNAcentral
CAUACUGCCGUGAAUACGUUCCCGGGCCUUGUACACACCGCCCGUCACACCAUGAGAGUUGGAGAUACCCGAAGCCUAUGAGCUAACUUUUAGAGGCAGUAGUCGAAGGUAGAAUCAAUGAUUGGGGUGAAGUCGUAACAAGGUAUC